This 506-nucleotide ribosomal RNA is filed under the name uncultured bacterium. RNAcentral describes it as "partial 16S ribosomal RNA". It matches the Rfam family "Bacterial small subunit ribosomal RNA", at positions 29 to 523 of the family's 1533-position model. The record is from RNAcentral.
AGUGAACGCUGGCGGUAGGCCUAACACAUGCAAGUCGAACGGUAGCACAGGAGAGCUUGCUCUCUGGGUGGCGAGUGGCGGACGGGUGAGGAAUACAUCGGAAUCUACUUUUUCGUGGGGGAUAACGUAGGGAAACUUACGCUAAUACCGCAUACGACCUACGGGUGAAAGCAGGGGAUCUUCGGACCUUGCGCGAUUGAAUGAGCCGAUGUCGGAUUAGCUAGUUGGCGGGGUAAAGGGCCACCAAGGCGACGAUCCGUAGCUGGUCUGAGAGGAUGAUCAGCCACACUGGGGCUGAGACACGGUCCAGACUCCUACGGGAGGCAGAAGUGGGGAAUAUUGGACAAUGGGCGCAAGCCUGAUCCAGCCAUACCGCGUGGGUGAAGAAGGCCUUCGGGUUGUAAAGCCCUUUUGUUGGGAAAGAAAUCCAGCUGGUUAAUACCCGGUUGGGAUGACGGUACCCAAAGAAUAAGCACCGGCUAACUUCGUGCCAGCCGCCGCAGUAA